Vicugna pacos (alpaca) is the source of this 2833-nucleotide non-coding RNA. The record is from RefSeq and is a predicted model, not a curated record. Lineage: Eukaryota; Metazoa; Chordata; Mammalia; Artiodactyla; Camelidae.
UGGGGGGCGCGGCUGCCUCGCGGCUGCGCGGAAGCCCCUGGGCCGGAGAAGACCGUGUGGGCGUGGGCUCCUGCUUCGCGUUCCCGGUUCUCCUGCGAUCCGCCGAUUCCAGCCGGUAGGCGGCCGCGGAAGCCCGGUCACCGGGACGAGUGGCCGGCGGAGGCCGCGAGUCCGCACGCAGGUGGCGACAGGACAGAGCGAGUCGAGCACGUCGAGCCGCACCGGACCCGGUACCGGGUCCUCCCUCCAGUACAGUUUGCAGUGCGGCCCCUUGGAGGUGACGCCCGGGGACCCAGGAAGCCGGUUCCGGUGAAGGGGCCGCUCGGCUGGCGGGGAGGCGCGGUGGGGCCGGGCUGCGCCCCGCGUGCCGGGUACCCGCUGGGCGCGGUUGUGGUUCCUCCCGCGCGUGAGCGUGUCAGCUCACGGAACCUGGGCCGACUUUCUGCAGGGUUCUUGUUUAAAGCAGCAGGCUCACCAGAACGGGACCCGCCGGCGGGGGACUCGGGGACAGUUUACAGUUCAGAGCGCUGGCUGGGGGACUGACUGCCUCCUUGCGGAGCGGCGGGACCCGUGCGCAGGGGAGGUGUUCCUGAUUUUACUUACAGAGAAGGAGGCUGAGAGACAGAACUAAAUGACAGCCUAGAGCCACAGCCUCUUCGGCCCCAGAAGGGCUGGUUAAGAGGACAUUAUUCAGCUUCAAGUUCUGUUGAAGACACAAGGCUUGAACCCGGAGAGGUAGCAGAGCAGCAGCAGGAAGGCGGGAGGGCGGGGAGCCUUCAGGUGUGUCUCCAGCAUCUAACACUGUGUGUGAGCCACAGCAAGGGCUCAGUAAACACCGUUUGAAUGAACAGAUGGCCUUGGGUUCACAGCUGCUCCUCAGCAUUCUAGUUGUGCUGCCUCCUCCCUGACAGUUAGGCCCCUACUUAGGAGCAAGCCUCGUUUUUACUUCUCCCCCCACCGCCACUGUGGUCUUUGGGUUUGAGAGAUUAGAGUCACUCCUGGCUCUAAGGGGCACAGCUCUGGGGUGGUGGGGUGCCCACUUAGGGCCACUGAGCUUGGAGAAGGAGUUUGCCAGGAGAUUCUGGAAGAGGUGAUGUUUCUCUUUCUCUUUCUGGACAUGUCACGUGUGGAUGGUGCUGCUGCAGCCAUCUUGCCACCCUGAAGAGGGUGCCCUUGUACAAUGAGGCAGACAGAAGAGGUGGGGAGAAAUCAAGCCUUUGAUGGCUGUGUUAGGAACCAACUCAGCCUUGAAGUUGGGACUUUCUAGUUUCAUGAGCCAGUAAAUUCCCUUUUUAAAAAAAUACUUUUUAAAACAGGGCAUAAAUAAAGGUACUUGUGAGUUAGCUAGUGUGGCUUUGUGUGCUAGCAGAGUUAACCUGCCUCAGGCUGAGCGCCUCAUCUGCGGAAGAGGAGCAGUAAUAACACUGUUCCCUCGGUGGUCCACGUGAGGAGGGCGUGAGGUGGGGUGUGGUCCUAGCCCGGGGCCGAGCACAAAGCUGGCAUCCAGAGGCCUUUUGUGUGCUUCAAUGUUUUGCAUUGAUGGCAGCUUUCUUAUUUGCCAAGGAUCCUUCCAACAACCAGCUUCUAAACUUGGCACCAGCGUACGGACAGACUGGUAGGCGCUCCUUCUGGAAGAUGAGCCCGGUUUAAGCAGCCUUGGAGCCAGGGGCCUGUGUACCUCGUGGAGUCUGCAGGGAGGAAGGACACAUCUGGUCACGCACGCUGAGCCCCUGGUAGCCUGGAGGCGGCUGACUUAGGGGCCUGUGGGCCCGUGAGCACCGGACUGCGCCUUCCCGCGGCCCGCGAGGUGCUCGGUGCUGGAGCUCGUGCGUGUUUGCCGCCAGAGGCUGCGUGACUUGGGGCUGAUCUGCAGGCGUCCGUGGCAGUGCCUGGGUGGUGGCACCUCUAACACGUUGCCGCCAAAACCAUGUGUGUGGUUUUUUCACUGCCUCAGAAGAGGCAGCCGAGCUGCUGCUGGGCCAGAGGGAGCCGGGGCUGCGUUUCUGGGAGGUCACUUGGGACCUGGCUUUUGGGGAGAUUCAUGGAAGGCAGGAAAAGGGGAGGCCCCUAAGUUUAGGGGCUGAGAUGUGGUCAUGAGCCCAGAGAGGGUGUGAGGCAGAGGUGGAAACACACCUACUCACACACCCACAUGCUCACACACACCUACACACAGGCUGCAGAGAGUGGCUUCUGUGACUUCCGGUGGUUUCUUGUCCCUUGUGCACCGGACUAUAUUUUCCAAAAAUGGUCACAAAGAUGCUUGGGAAACACAUGCUUGCCCAGAACCUUGCCCCCCCCCCACGUAGUCAGGAGAUGGCAUCGGGCCCCUCCUUGGGCUCGGGCAGCCCUGGACUGAGUUCAGAAGCAGAGCUGUAACUUCUGGGGUGCAGCCUCUGCAGGGCGCCCUCAGUGCAGAUGUCCUUGGAGCCCAGCCGCGCUCUGCGCGGCACCCAGGCCUGCCGUGGGGAGAGGAACCAGCCGAGUGACCCCGGCGGGCCUCAGCCGUUGGCGAUCUUAAGGGGAGACAAGAACGCCGAGACCAGGGACUGCACCCAGGCAGAGGGAGCGGCAGCAGGGCCGCCCCGCCGCCCGUCAGGGCCCCGGGUCCACUUCAGGGGAGACUGGCCGGGACGGGCGAGGGUGCUGCCCUCUUCUGAUACGCGUCUUGGAUCCACCACAGCUUGGGCUCUGGGCCGAGCCCAAGCCCCCGUGAGCGCGGGUGGGCCCUUGGCUUCACGCCUCCCCAGUUCUCCGUUCGGGGGCACGCUGCUCUGGGGAAGAGCCUGGCGUCCCCCUUACUUGCCGCAAGAAAUAAUAAACCUUCCUGCGCCUG